RNAcentral lists this ribosomal RNA (537 nucleotides) under uncultured Geobacteraceae bacterium. Its description in RNAcentral is "bacterial SSU rRNA". It matches the Rfam family "Bacterial small subunit ribosomal RNA", at positions 9 to 526 of the family's 1533-position model. Lineage: Bacteria; Pseudomonadati; Thermodesulfobacteriota; Desulfuromonadia; Geobacterales; Geobacteraceae. The record is from RNAcentral.
GAGUUUGAUCCUGGCUCAGAACGAACGCUGGCGGCGUGCCUAACACAUGCAAGUCGAGCGGGAUGAGGGGCUUGCUCCUCAUUUAGUGGCGCACGGGUGAGUAACGCGUAGAUAAUCUGCCUGAUGAUCUGGGAUAACACUUCGAAAGGGGUGCUAAUACCGGAUAAGCCCACGGGGUCUUUGGAUUYUGCGGGAAAAGGGGGGGACCUUCGGGCCUUCUGUCAUCAGAUGAGUCUGCGUACCAUUAGCUAGUUGGUAGGGUAAUGGCCUAUCAAGGCUACGAUGGUUAGCUGGUCUGAGAGGAUGAUCAGCCACACUGGAACUGAGACACGGUCCAGACUCCUWCGGGAGGCAGCAGUGGGGAAUUUUGGACAAUGGGCGCAAGCCUGAUCCAGCCAUGCCGCGUGAGUGAAGAAGGCCUUCGGGUUGUAAAGCUCUUUCGGCCGGAACGAAAUCGCGUACGCAAAUAACGUGCGUGGAUGACGGUACUGGAAGAAGAAGCACCGGCUAACUCCGUGCCAGCAGCCGCGGUAAUAC